RNAcentral lists this long non-coding RNA (6241 nucleotides) under Sus scrofa (pig). Its description in RNAcentral is "lncRNA (ENSSSCG00000055231.1)". Lineage: Eukaryota; Metazoa; Chordata; Mammalia; Artiodactyla; Suidae. The record is from RNAcentral.
UCCUGCAUACUGAGCACUUUCUGGAGAGCAGAUAUGAAUAGACUCUAGGAGGAAGACAACCCUCCACAGUUCAGUUUCCUCCCAGAUCCCACUGCAUUUCCUUUCUCAAAAUCAAGAACAAAGAAAAUAAGAUGUACCAUAUUUUGAUGAAUAUUGUAAUGUGCUUUGAAACCACAUAGCAGGGGGUGUGGUAGAGAAGGAAUCAAACAAAUGCACUACUGAGGUUAAAGAGGCCAAGUCAAUACAAUGAGAAAAGGCUACAUUUCAGGUUUCUAAAUGACUAACGCUCUUGACUUUUUUUUAAUUUAAUUUUUAUUUUAUAGUGAAGUAGAGUUGAUUUACAAUGCUGUGUUUGUUUUGGGUAGACAGCAAAGUGAUUCAGUUAUAGAAAAUACACAUAUCCUAUAUAGGAUUCUUUUCCCACGUAGGUUACUACGGAAUAUUGUGUCGAGUUCCCUGUGCCAUACAGUAGGUCCUUGUUGAUUAUGCUGUUUAUCUAUGUUACAUAGACUAGUGUGUAUAUGUGACUUUUUAUUAGUCAAUGUGAAAUUGAAGCUAGAUUCACAAUUUUUGUGUUACUAAUUUUCUGGAAGGCAGUGAAGUAGAGACAGCCAUUAUAAUUCUGUUUGACACAUAGAUUUUUAGUCAGGAGUGACUACCUAAUUUGUAAGGUCCAGUGCAAAAUAAAAUUCGGGGAUCCUCUCAUUCCAACACCAGGAAAAAAAUGUGUCCUUUGGUUCUGACAUAGAGAUCCUUUCCUUUUUGUCUCUAGACUUGUCAUGGUGCUUUUGUUUGCUAGUUAAUGUCAUUCAAAAUAAGGAAAAAUUAAAAAUUUAAAUUAUUAGUAUGAGUUUUUCAGUUCAUCUUUGUAUUGCACAAGGCCAGCUUUCCUUGCAUAUUUUUAGAGCAUUUAACUGGUGUGUGGAGUCGUCAAAAUGACACAAUCCCCCUUUCAGAGCAGACACAUACAUAUGUAUUGCAUUCUUACCAGAAUGGUGAGAAUGCUGCUCAAAAUCAACUCAGCUGCUUUCGCAGCACUUCUUGACAGGCACACAUUCUACCAGCAUUCUCUACCUUUGGCUUACUGAUGAGUAAGGAAGGACUGGCAGGAAGAGGAACUGUGGAUUGCUCCACUGAUACAGGGACAUAACAGGAGAAAGAAAUGUGUUAGGAUUUCAUGGCCAUUUGUGUCUCUUAAGAUACAUUGCCUUCUUUAUGGAUUCGGCAUAAAUUCUGGUUUGAACAAAAAGUUUGAUGUCUCCUGAUUGUCAGUGUUUCUACAUAUUUAGUCACAGACAUAACAGACUUACUCUGUCUUCUCUUUGAGUUGCACUCAGCUUCCACACAUGUUGGGUCCCCCUGAGAUUCAUGCUCUGGGUUCCUUGCAAAAACUAUACUGAAACAGGGCAUCCAGAAUCCAGGACUUGCACGCAGAGUAUCUAUCCCCUACCACACGUGAGCUCCAUCAUCUUAUCCUAUGCCACUUACAAAACACAAGCGCAAAGGUAAAAUUGAGAAUCUCAAAAAUCCACGAAAGCAAAGCCUUCACUAACCCUGGAGGCGCUUUGAGCUCAGGGCAAUGGUACAGACCACACCUUCAAGAAGCUGAUUCGGUUGUUAGAUGUAAAACCCAAAUUAAAAUUUUACUUGAAAGAGAAGCAAUAGUAAAGCAUCAAGCCUGGGAUGGAUAUGAUUCUCAGAAUGUUUGUAACAUAUCAUGUUCUUAUUGGAUGGAGAAACAUACUGUAACCCACUGAUGAGUAGAGGUGAGAAGGAAAGAAAACCUGCUUCAGCAGACACAAGCAUUCCUUUCUUCACUCUUACAGCUUGAGGGGGAAAUUAAUAAUUGUUUUCAUGAUACAUUUGCAUUUUAAAUCGGAUUUUUCUAGAAAAGCAAACUGUGGACUUCAGAGUGACACAGAAGCAGAUACUUCAAAAUAUCUGAUAUUGGAAAAUGGGAUUCAAAACAAAGUUGAUUCUGAUGUAAGCAGACAAUCAAAAAGUUAAUUUUUCAGGCAUUUUUCUGGAAGAGGAACUCACUUUUCCUUAGAUGAUAUGAUAAACAAUAAUUGGGUUCUCGUCCUUGGAGUGUAAUGGUGAUAGUGCAAUGUAAUAACCAAAACCUCAUGUAAAAUAUUUUUUAUGAGAAAUACAUUUCAAAGUCUAGGCAUACAGUUCCACUCAGCUUACCUGUGGGAACAGGGCCUUCCCUGAGUCCUAGGUUGGAGCCGAGAUUCUGAUUCUGAAAACUAUGUUGGUAGCUGCGAGAGACACAUGAACUCAGUGGGAUCGUGAAAAAUCUAGGUCGACCUUGGUGCUGGUAACUUGCUAAGUUUCUCCACGUACAGAAGAGAGGGGUGCUUGUCUGCAAAUACUUAGGAGAUCAUGUCGCUAGAACUGCUUUGAGAGUUCCCACCGCGGUGCAGCAGGUUAAGAACCCAACUUAGUGCCCCUGAGGAUGCGGAUUUUAUCCAUGGCCUCACUCAGUGAGUUAAGGAUCCAGUGUUGCUGCAAGCGACAACAUAGUUCACAGGUGCGGCUCAGAUACUGCAUUGCUGUGGCUGUGGCACAGGCCGGCAGCAGCAGCUCUGAUUUGACCCCUGGCCUGGGAACUUCCAUAUGCCAUGGAUGUGAUCCUAUAAAAAUAUAAAUAAAUGAACAAAUAAAAUAAAAAAAAACAUACUUUGCAGAAGGCUGGAUGGACGCCCCUUUACUGGGUCUCCUCAUGUGAGUUCCUUUUCCCUACACAUCUCUAAGUAGAAAAAUUUAAGAUUUUCAUGUUGUUUUAACAAUGUAAUUUCAAAUUUUCCCUGUGAACAUCGAAUAAGCUGAAAUGCAUUGGCAGUUCUGCACACUAUCGCUCUAUGAGCUGUUGAUAAACCCAGAAAUUAAAAAAAAAAAAAUAGGGAGAAGAAAAGCCGACCCAAUAACUAUAUUUCAACAAAGCAAGACUAUUAAAAUAAGAAAUGAGAAAGUGAGAGUUAAACGUAGUGACCUAUCAAUGCUCCGUAACUAAUGUUCCUAGUGACAGCCGAUAUUUUUUCAGGGUUCAUUCAUCUCACACAGGCUCUGUGAUAUAUGUGUAUUAAUUCAUUUAAUCCUCAUACCACCCCUCUAAGACACUUAUUUUUAAAAUUUUUAUUAUUUUAUUUAUUUUUUUGAAGGGCAGCACCGUGGCAUAUGGAGGUUCCCAGGCUAGGGGUUGAAUCGGAGCUGUAGCCACUGGCCCACACCACAGCCACAACAAAGCUGGAUCCGAGCCAUGUCUGCGACCUACACCACAGCUCACGGCAACACCAGAUCCUUAACCCACUGAGUCAAGCCAGGGUUGGAACCUGCAUCCUCACGAAUGCUAGUCAGAUGCAUUAACCAUUUAGCCACGAUAGGAACUCCAUGAUAGUCAUAUUAUUUAUACAGCAUUUUAAAAAAGGAAUUUAUGGAAUGACCAAGACGUGCUGUAACUAAACCAGGAAGCUUCUACAUAGUGAGGGAAAACUCAUACUCAGUGUGUCUGGUUCAAAGGCACCUCAUCUUCACCCUGUUUUGUUUUUAUGGCCUUAUUUCUGACUUCGUUUCCACAUGGUGUGUACUCAGAAUUGUUGAGACCGGGAUGAAUAUUUAAUAUGAAAUUAAAUUUAACAUAAGCUUGAUUCCAAAUUUAAAUACUACUCAGAAAUGUUAGGCAAGAAUGUGUGUUCAUUUACAAGUAAAAUGUACUGGCGUGUUGUUUAAAGCUAUAAAAUACUUUAUAGACACAAGAUGGAAUUAGAGAUAUUUGACCACAGUAAAAAUUUGGCUGGAUGGGAAAUGGGAGAUGAUGCCUUAAAAUAUUACUUGCUUGGGUUAAAACAAUUUAACCCUUCUUUUCCAUUUUAAAGCUUUUCGCAGACAAAGAAAAAAUUGUUGUGAUAUUGGAAUUUUUAUCCUAUAUCUUAUAUCAUCCAAAGGGUAAUGUAAAUGAAUUUAUCAAAUGAAUUUAUGAAAUACCAUAUAAAAUUAUUUUAUUUAUUUAUUUAUUUUUGCUUUUUAGGGCUGCACCCAUGGCAUAUGGAUGUUCCCAGGCUAGGCGUCAAAUUGGAGCUAUAGCUGCCGGCUUAUGCCACAGCCACAGCAAUGCCAGAUCCAAGCCAUGUCUGCAACCUACACCACAGCUCAUGGCAACACCAGAUCCUCAACCCACUGAGCGAGGCCAGGGAUUGAACCUGAAACCUCAGGGUUCCUAGUCGGUUUCGUUUCCGCAGCACCACAACGGGAACUCCCAUAUAAAAUUAUUUUAGCCUAUCUUUCUAAGUAGCUUGCAAUCUCCAUGCCUUAAAAAAAUAUAUCCAACACCAACCAAAGUUUUUGAUAUGUAGUAUGUCUCGAAAAGAUUGAAAAUAAAUUCAACAAAUCAACCAUUGGGCAUUAAUUAUAACACACAAUAUUUGCAAGAAAGGAAUGAAAUGAUACCCAGAUCAAAAACCUUUUACCACUACUUGUGGCAAACUAGAAAAGACAGAGCGAAAAUAUCAAAUUUAUUUCAGCGAGAAUUUGAAAUGAACAAAGAGUGAUCUCAGCUGCAAACCACAUAAAAGUGACUAUUUGAAAGAAUUAAGAUUUAAAAACAUAGAGACACAAGAAUAUGUAAUGAAAUGGAAAUGAGUUUCUCUCCGAUUUAAUGGAUAUUGUGGGAAUAAGUGUGGAGGUUGAGAAUAGCUUAAUUUAAAGUAAAUAACGUCAUGCUGUUGCUUUACUAAGGAAAAAUGGGUUUCUCAAAAUAAGAGACAUCCUUUAUAAUUACGGGAUUCAGCCCUGAUGGAGAAUAAAGGUGUGCUCUGAUGUUCUCAGAACACCACAGAGAAUUUUCCUUGCCUGUGUCAGGGACAAUUAUUCCCUCUUCAACUAAAUUAAAAAGAUUCACGAGCAGAAAAAGACCUGAUACUAUCUGAACAUCACAGAUUAGGCAUUGUCUUCUCUGGGGUUUUAAAAUGGAUAUAAUGGGGCUGUGUUUUUUCUUAAUAUGAAAUAUAUUUUAUUCUACAGUAAAAAUAAUAUUGAAAUUAUAGAAAGAUGAAAACCUGCUUUAAUAGUUAAAAUUAAAUUUGGGGUCACUAGGGUUUUUAUUUAAAAAUUGUCACAAGAUGUAAGGAAUAUACAUGCAUAUAUAUCAAUGUCAUAUCAACAUAUAAAAAUUCUGUCAGUGAAAAGCAUUUACAUGUUUUAUGGAUCUCAGUUACCUUCUAUACAUGCUAUUUCUCCCUUUUGUGCUUCUUUAUGGUUCAUAUUUAUGUUCACAACAGUAACAUUUUAUUUAUUUCCCUUUAUGGCAUUUCAUUUUUGAAUAUGUUAGAAAAAAAAAAUCCUAGUUAAAAAAUGACUAUAAGUCUUUCAUUUAACAUUAAGGAUUUUGCUUUUUUUACCACCAUACCUCCCCAUCCUUUCACCUUUCUCCAAAACAACACGGCUUUUAGUGAGAAACCAAACUUCCCCCACCUCCCUCAUUUGUCUAGAAAAGCAUUCUUUCUCCCAAACACCAAAAAUGGUGAAACUACAUCCCUGCUUUUGAAAGACAUUAGCUUCUAGCUCUAGAAAUUUCAUUGAUGUUUAGCAGUAAGCUUGGGGUCUUAUAGAAUGAGGGGAGAUGCUUUUAAAAUCUUAACCAAAGGGCCACUGAAAUAAAAUAAGCUGAAUCUUUAGAAGAAAUAACCCAUUCAUAAUGAGGAAUGUGAAGUUCCCUUUGUGGUACAGUGAAACAAAUACAACUAGGAACCAUGAGGUUGUGGGUUCGAUUCCUGGCCUCGCUCAAUGGGUUAAGGAUCUGGCGUUGCUGUGAGCUGUGGUGCAGGUCACAGGCAGGGCUCAGAUUUGGCAUGCUGUGGCUGUGGUAUAGGCUCGCAGCUGUAGCUCCAAUUAGACCCCUAGCCUGGGAACCUCCAUAUGCUGCAGGUGCAGCCCUAAAAAAAGCAAAAAAAAACCAAAACAAAACAAAAAAAAAACACAGGAAUGUGAUUUCAGAAUAAAAAUGUACUGCACCAUAAUUUCUGCCAUGGCUCAGUGGUAAGGAACCUGACUCCUAUCUAUGAGGAUGCAGGUUUGAUCCCUGGCCUCACUCCAUGGAUUAAGGAUCCAGCGUUGCCAUGGGCUGUGGUGUAGGUUGCAGAUGCAUCUCAGAUCUGGUGUUGCUGUUGCUGUGGCUGUAGUAUAGGCCAGAGGCUACAGCUCCAAUUUGAUCCCUAGCAUGGGAAACUUCAUAUGCUGCAGC